AUUGAACGCUGGCGGCAUGCCUUACACAUGCAAGUCGAACGGCAGCACGGGAGCAAUCCUGGUGGCGAGUGGCGAACGGGUGAGUAAUAUAUCGGAACGUGCCCAGUCGUGGGGGAUAACGUAGCGAAAGCUACGCUAAUACCGCAUACGAUCUAUGGAUGAAAGCGGGGGAUCGCAAGACCUCGCGCGAUUGGAGCGGCCGAUAUCAGAUUAGGUAGUUGGUGAGGUAAAGGCUCACCAAGCCGACGAUCUGUAGCUGGUCUGAGAGGACGACCAGCCACACUGGGACUGAGACACGGCCCAGACUCCUACGGAGGCAGCAGUGGGGAAUUUUUGGGACAAUGGGCGCAAGCCUGAUCCAGCAAUGCCGCGUGCAGGAUGAAGGCCUCGGUUGUAACU
Molecule: ribosomal RNA, 399 nt
Filed under: uncultured bacterium
Lineage: Bacteria
Description: bacterial SSU rRNA
Rfam family: Bacterial small subunit ribosomal RNA
Source: RNAcentral